RNA transcript from Vespa crabro (European hornet), 2427 nucleotides. It is a transcript of the gene named calnexin-like, with no coding region annotated. NCBI's taxonomy places the organism in Eukaryota, Metazoa, Arthropoda, Insecta, Hymenoptera, Vespidae. The transcript is spliced from 9 exons. The record is from RefSeq and is a predicted model, not a curated record.
UAUAUAUAUAUAUAUAUACCUAUCUAUCUCACACACUCACACAAACAUAUAUGUAUAGAGCAUGAUAUUUUGUAAGUGACGUUACAGUGUAAUAAAAAAUAAUUAACAAUUAAAAUACGUAUUCAGGAAUAUGAAAUGGCAAAAAUCGUAGCAUGUGCAUCAUUACUUUAUUUAAGCAUAAUUUGUAAUAUAUUAGAUGCCAAUGAGCAACAUAAUAAUGAUAUUAAAGAUACAAAUACAAAAUCAACAUACCAAAGUCCGGAACCAUCUGGAUUUGCUUACUUAGCAGAACAUUUUGAUGAUAGAGACAAAUUUGAUACUACUUGGGUAUUAUCAGAAGCCAAAAAAGAUAAUAUCGAUGAAGAUAUCGCAAAAUAUGAUGGAAUCUGGACUAUAGAAGAGCCUAAAAGACCUAUACAAGAUGGUGAUUUAGGUUUAAUAUUAAAAAGCAAGGCUAGGCAUGCUGCUAUUUCUACUUUAUUAAAUACUCCUUUUCAUUUCAAAGAUAAACCAUUGAUUGUACAGUAUGAAGUUAAUUUUCAAGAUGGUCAGGAAUGUGGUGGUGCAUAUCUCAAAUUAUUAACAUUAGAUUCAAAACACACAGAAUUAAAGAAUUUUCAUGAUAAAACACCAUAUACUAUUAUGUUUGGACCUGAUAAGUGUGGGAAUGAUCAUAAGCUACAUUUUAUUUUCCGCCAUAAAAAUCCUUUGAAUGGUACAAUUGAAGAAAAGCAUUGUAAAAAACCAAAGGAGAGAUUAGAGGAUUUCUUCAAAGAUAAACAACCACAUUUAUAUACUUUGAUAGUUCGACCUGAUAACACAUUUGAAAUAAAAGUUGACAAUAAAAUUGUAAAUACAGGAUCGUUAUUAGACGAUUUCACUCCUCCUGUUAAUCCACCUUUAGAAAUAGAAGAUCCAAAUGAUAAACAACCUGAUGACUGGGAUGAUAGAGAAAAGAUCUCUGAUCCAUCAGCGAUAAAACCUGAUGACUGGGAUGAAGAUGCUCCAGCUCAGAUAGUAGACGAAGAAGAUGUUAUGCCAGAUGGAUGGUUAGAAGAUGAGCCACCUAUGAUACCAAAUCCUGAUUCUGUAAAACCUGAUGAUUGGGACAUUGAUAUGGAUGGAGAAUGGGCACCUCCUGAAAUACCAAAUCCAAAAUGCUCAGAUGCUCCAGGUUGUGGCCCUUAUAAGCAGAAAAUGAAGAAGAAUCCACGUUAUAAAGGAAAAUGGUUACCUCCAUUGAUUAAUAAUCCUAAUUACAGUGGAAAAUGGAAACCUAAACUAAUUCAUAAUCCUAAUUACUUCAAUGAUGAACAUCCAUUUUUGAUGUCAUCUAUUUCUGCUAUUGGAUUUGAACUUUGGUCCAUGUCUCCUGAUAUUAUUUUUGACAAUAUUCUUAUUACUGAUAAUGAAGAUGUUGCAAAGAAAUGGUCCGAUGAAACGUUUGAAGUGAGACGAGUUAAAAUUGCUGAAGAAAGUGAAACAUUGUGGGGACGUAUGAUGCGUUCCAUGAACUACAAACCUGGCUGGUGGGCCCUUUAUUUUUGUUACUGUAUGAUACCAGUCAUAAUAUAUGUUUGGUAUUUAAUAAAACGUUCACGUGAGGAAAAAAAUGAUGGAAAAGAAGAGGACAAGCAAUGUUUAGAUAUAAAUAAAGAUUUAUUAGAUAAUGAAGAAGAGGAAGAAACUCAGGAGACAGCUAUAGAAGAAAAUAAAGAAAUUGAAAAUACAAGUGAAACAGAGGAGAUAAUUGAAUCUAAAACGGAUAAAUCUAGUGGUGAUGAUGGUCCAAGACGAAGAAAACCAAAUAAAGAAUGAUAAGCAUCAAAAUAAAUAUAAGAAAAAAUUUAUUGUUAAAGUGUUCGUCAUACUUUCACAUUCCACAUUAUGCUUGUCAUUGUGGAUAGUAGUAUUAUCAAUCACUAAAUACGCGAUGUUUUCAUUAGCAAUUUGUUCCUCGUUUAGAAAUAUGCGUGCUUCGAUUUUAAGUAUAAUUUAUCAUUAUACAAUAUAAUUCAGCAUAAUGUCUUUGUGUACACACACACAUUGACAAAAUCAUUCUGUAUAUCAAAAAAAAAAAAAAAAUAAAUAAAUAAAAAAAUAAAAUAAAAAAAAAAAAAAAUAAAAAAAAUAAAGAAACUUAUAACUGCAUAUAAGCAGUUGAAAUAAUUAAACUUGAUAUACAAUGUCACGAAGAACUGACUUUGUAUUUUUAUUACUUAUUUUCUGUGCAAUUUCAUGUACAUUACAUAAAUACUUAAAUAUAUAAAUAAAACAUAUUAGCGUAUUAAUUUAUAUUAAUAGGUAAUAUAAAAUCAUGUAGACUUGAGAAUACAAAAAGAUUGUGAAUAUAUAAUUACUGUAAACUUUGAUUAUUUGAUUGAUGUAAACAACAAUAUAAAAUAUUAAAAAUCUAGUUCACAUGUU